GACGAACGCUGGCGGCGUGCUUAACACAUGCAAGUCGAACGGAAAGGCCCUGCUUUUGUGGGGUGCUCGAGUGGCGAACGGGUGAGUAACACGUGAGUAACCUGCCCUUGACUUUGGGAUAACUUCAGGAAACUGGGGCUAAUACCGGAUAGGAGCUCCUGCUGCAUGGUGGGGGUUGGAAAGUUUCGGCGGUUGGGGAUGGACUCGCGGCUUAUCAGCUUGUUGGUGGGGUAGUGGCUUACCAAGGCUUUGACGGGUAGCAGGCCUGAGAGGGUGACCGGCCACAUUGGGACUGAGAUACCGCCCAGACUCCUACGGGAGGCAGCAGUGAGGAAUAGUGCACAAUGGGCCGAAGCCUGAUGCAGCAACGCCGCGUGCGGGAUGACGGCCUUCGGGUUGUAAACCGCUUUCGCCUGUGACGAAGCGUGAGUGACGGUAAUGGGUAAAGAAGCACCGGCUAACUACGUG
This 468-nucleotide ribosomal RNA is filed under the name uncultured bacterium. RNAcentral's name for it is "partial 16S ribosomal RNA". It matches the Rfam family "Bacterial small subunit ribosomal RNA", at positions 28 to 507 of the family's 1533-position model. The record is from RNAcentral.